This 76-nucleotide transfer RNA is filed under the name Chloroflexi bacterium B3_Chlor. RNAcentral describes it as "tRNA-Gly". It matches the Rfam family "tRNA". From Rfam's summary of the family: Transfer RNA (tRNA) molecules are approximately 80 nucleotides in length. Lineage: Bacteria; Bacillati; Chloroflexota. The record is from RNAcentral. RNAcentral also lists the same sequence under 3 other names.
GCGGGAGUAGCUUAGUUGGCAAAGCAUCUGCCUUCCAAGCAGAGGAUCGCGAGUUCGAAUCUCGUCUCCCGCUCCA